CGCGAACCCAGGAGAAUGUGCGCGCGCAGGGUGGCGUUGAGGGAAGCUUUGAGUUCUCCAUGGGGCUUCGAACCCUAUCCCGGGCGUGUGCCCCUCCGGGACCCCAAUCUCGUUUAUCUUACACACAGCUGCUACAGUUGCCCGCCCUCCUAGGGUAGAAUGCGACUCCGGCUUCCCGCGCUUUUUGAGAGGGAACACACCUCCAUGAAGAACUCGCAACUAUGUCUCUCUCGAAACAUUAUUAAGUAACCUAUACGUCCAGUAUGACCCUAAUUUUUAAGGGAUGUGUAUAUGUAAUUAACACAGAGCGGAAGGACUGGACGUUAAGAAAUGUUAAGAAUUCUCAGGCACCUGUGGUCCCAGCU
RNAcentral lists this long non-coding RNA (365 nucleotides) under Homo sapiens (human). Its description in RNAcentral is "HSALNT0152842". Lineage: Eukaryota; Metazoa; Chordata; Mammalia; Primates; Hominidae. The record is from RNAcentral.